Molecule: ribosomal RNA, 465 nt
Filed under: Vreelandella stevensii
Lineage: Bacteria; Pseudomonadati; Pseudomonadota; Gammaproteobacteria; Oceanospirillales; Halomonadaceae
Description: partial 16S ribosomal RNA
Rfam family: Bacterial small subunit ribosomal RNA
Source: RNAcentral
CCUACGGGACGCUGCAGUGGGGAAUAUUGGACAAUGGGCGAAAGCCUGAUCCAGCCAUGCCGCGUGUGUGAAGAAGGCCUUCGGGUUGUAAAGCACUUUCAGUGGGGAAGAAAGCCUUGGGGCUAAUACCCUCGAGGAAGGACAUCACCCACAGAAGAAGCACCGGCUAACUCCGUGCCAGCAGCCGCGGUAAUACGGAGGGUGCGAGCGUUAAUCGGAAUUACUGGGCGUAAAGCGCGCGUAGGCGGUCUGAUAAGCCGGUUGUGAAAGCCCCGGGCUCAACCUGGGAACGGCAUCCGGAACUGUCAGGCUAGAGUGCAGGAGAGGAAGGUAGAAUUCCCGGUGUAGCGGUGAAAUGCGUAGAGAUCGGGAGGAAUACCAGUGGCGAAGGCGGCCUUCUGGACUGAGACUGACGCUGAGGUGCGAAAGCGUGGGUAGCAAACAGGAUUAGAUACCCUAGUAGUC